This 318-nucleotide ribosomal RNA is filed under the name uncultured Chloroflexota bacterium. RNAcentral describes it as "bacterial SSU rRNA". It matches the Rfam family "Bacterial small subunit ribosomal RNA", at positions 28 to 351 of the family's 1533-position model. Lineage: Bacteria; Bacillati; Chloroflexota. The record is from RNAcentral.
GAUGAACGCUGGCGGCGUGCCUAAUACAUGCAAGUCGAACGGAAGGUAGCAAUACCUUUAGUGGCGAACGGGUGAGUAACGCGUUGGUGACCUGCCCCGAAGCGUGGGAUAACAGUCCGAAAGGAUUGCUAAUACCGCAUGUGGUCCAAGAGAUUAGAGGCUCAUGGACUAAAGGAGACAUUCACUUCGGGAGGGGCCUGCGUCCCAUCAGCUAGUUGGUAAGGUAACGGCUUACCAAGGCGAUGACGGGUAGGGGACCUGAGAGGGUGGCCCCCCACAAUGGAACUGAAACACGGUCCAUACACCUACGGGAGGCAG